AAUAAAUUUGCGAUUUAUAUAAAAAACUUUUUAAAAACAAAGUAUGGGAACAUCAGAAAUGUUUAUAUAUAGUUUUAUAAGUCUGAAAAGAAUUACAUAAAAAUGAAAAAGCCUUAGUUUUAUAAGUACCUUUUGUAUAAUGGCCUUUUAAGAGAAUUUGCCUUAUAGGCUUAUCCCGAACUGAGCAGAUUUUUUAAAAAACAGUGAAGAAGGUUUUCGAUGUGUGAAAUCUUUAGAUUUUUUAAAGGAUGUGAUAUGCAAUAUCGAGGCUCAGGAUAGCUGGUUAAGUGAUAAAUGCUUUUAAGUGCAGCUUUAAAGUAGGUAAAUUCAAGGAAGACAAGUCUGCGGAUUAACUUUAAAAGUGAAAAACUUAGCUAAAGGUUAGGUUUAGAACUUUCUUAAAAUUUGUUCUUAGUAAAGAAAAGUUGGAUUUAAAAUGUCUGUUUUGGUAAGAGUAUUUAACAAUUUAUCUUUAAUGAAAAAAGAAGAAUUAAUUACAUUUAAGAGGUAUAUAAAAUCGCUUAAUUAUCUAAAAUUAACUGUCAGG
RNAcentral lists this ribosomal RNA (547 nucleotides) under Nanostrea pinnicola. RNAcentral's name for it is "16S ribosomal RNA". The record is from RNAcentral. Lineage: Eukaryota; Metazoa; Mollusca; Bivalvia; Ostreida; Ostreidae.